RNAcentral lists this long non-coding RNA (1754 nucleotides) under Helianthus annuus (common sunflower). Its description in RNAcentral is "hypothetical non coding rna". Lineage: Eukaryota; Viridiplantae; Streptophyta; Magnoliopsida; Asterales; Asteraceae. The record is from RNAcentral.
UUCCUUUCAUUUCUUGCUACCUUCUCAUUCUGGAGGAAACCUGAGUUUGUGAAACUUCUUUGGAGUUCAUUUCAGUACCAAGGACCAUUUGUAAGUGUCCUUAACCUCCUAAUCAUAGUUUUGAUUAGUUUAAUGACCUAAAGUCAACCUUAUCAUAAUUAAGGAUUGACUUAGUGAUUAAUCACUAAUGGUAAUAAACCCCUUAGAGGGCACCUACUGAUUAGCAACCUAACUUGGUCAAAUGUCGGGUCAAACUUGAUAUUAAAAAGUCAACAGGAAACUAAUUUUGCAAAUAAAACUAUAAUUAGCAAUAUAGAAGCUAUGAAACCUGUUUUAACACUAAAAUAACUUGGUAAUUAAGUUAAGAACAUGUCUAAGCAUGUUCCACCCGACAAUUCUAAGUAUAGGCUCGGUUCGGAACCAAAAGUCGCAAAAGUUGACUUUUGCUUUGACUUUCAGUUCUGGCCCGAUUUAGCUUAGUUUAGAUAUGCCUUAGGAUUCCAUUAGGACCAUAUUAUAGGUUAGUAUAACCCUCCGAGGUUAUACAAUUUGGUUCCAUAGAAAUCCAAAUCCUAGUUCAUGCAGGUUUCCGUUAAAUGCCUAAAUAUUGACCGUUAUGCCCUUUUGACCCUAAAACGAGAAAUUUGAAAAUGUGAGAGGACGAUAAUCUUCAUUACUGAUUUAUAAACUUGUACUUAAAUUUGACAUCAGUUUGAGAUCUAGGUUAGGAGUUAUGCUCAAUAGCGUAAUUAGAAAGCUUUUUGUUAAUUAAACGGCAUAAUUAGCGUAUAGCCUAUCUAAACCCAAUUUUUGAUACCAAACUUUUUACCUACUGAUAUAAAAUAAUAUUUUGGGAUUUUUAAGGAUUUUUAUUUAUUUUUAGGUUGAGCAUAACAUAGGGUUCUAGCUUUAAUUCGGUAAAUCCUUUUGACCCCAAACCUUUUUUCUACUGAUCUAAUAUGAUAAAUACAAUAUUUUGAGCCUUCUGGAAUAAUAAAAAUAUCAGCUUUCCUUAGAAAAUCCGGAAAUGGCUCCAAAUCGUCUUUUUAAGCGUUUUUAACGCAUAGUAUAUAUUAAAAACAUCUUAAGCAUAUAAGAGUUGAUGCCUCCUGAUAUUUUAAGUGAAUUUAUAUAUUUUAAAGUUAAGGAAAAGUUUUAAACUCAGAUUUCCAGUUUUGACCUUUUAAGCUUAUGUGAAAUUACCAAAAUGCCCCUACGGUGCAUAGUUUGGUUAUAAGUAGUAAAUUUCACAUAUAUGCUAUACCCUACUGUUAUAACUUAGUAAACUAAGUAUUUUUACUGAUUAUAUCAGACCUGGAACUCAGAAUGAUAUUUAAACUCUCUUAUAACUUUUAAAAUGACCAAAAUACCCCUACGGGGCAUAAAUUGAUCUUAAACUCGUUUUGGGCAUAAUGGAAGGUAUCCUACUGAUAUCACAACAUAUUUAAGGCAUAUUAGCUUAGGAAACCUGUUCAUGACUCUUGUGUUUACCCGUUACGCCCUUUUCGCGUUGGGAUCGGCUUAUGUAACUAGUUUGCAUAAAUUAGCCGAAACGGGUCAAACCUUAUCAUUUUGAUAUCAAAAUCCAGAAUGUGUUUAGUUUACCCAUAUUAAACAAGUAUACAAGCUUGUCGGGUCUAAACCACAUUCUAAUCCGGUCUUCGCAUAAUCAUGCGUUUUGAACCGUAUCUUCCUUUAAAACUAACCGGUCUAAGCUUAGGCUUAAUUAAAGACCCGUUAGGAAUCUAAUAGGU